GCCAGCAGCCAUAUCACCCUGAAGGUCACAACUGGCAACUCACUGAAGCAAAGCAGGUGUGAGCCUGGUCAGUACCUGGAUGGGAGACCUGGGAAAAACUAUGGUUGUUGCUGGAA
Molecule: ribosomal RNA, 116 nt
Filed under: Lepisosteus oculatus (spotted gar)
Lineage: Eukaryota; Metazoa; Chordata; Actinopteri; Semionotiformes; Lepisosteidae
Source: RNAcentral